UACGUAGGUGGCAAGCGUUAUCCGGAAUUAUUGGGCGUAAAGAGUGAGCAGGCGGCAGUCAAAGUCUGUAGUUAAAACGUGUGGCUCAACCAUACGUUGCUAUGGAAACUAGACAGCUAGAGUGCAGGAGAGGUUAGCGGAAUUCCAUGUGUAGCGGUAAAAUGCGUAGAUAUAUGGAGGAACACCAGUGGCGAAGGCGGCUAACUGGCCUGUAACUGACGCUCAGUCACGAAAGCGUGGGGAGCAAAUAGGAUUAGAUACCC
RNAcentral lists this ribosomal RNA (263 nucleotides) under uncultured bacterium. Its description in RNAcentral is "partial 16S ribosomal RNA". It matches the Rfam family "Bacterial small subunit ribosomal RNA", at positions 524 to 787 of the family's 1533-position model. The record is from RNAcentral.